UAGGGAAUCUUCGGCAAUGGACGAAAGUCUGACCGAGCAACGCCGCGUGAGUGAAGAAGGUUUUCGGAUCGUAAAACUCUGUUGUUAGAGAAGAACAAGGACGUUAGUAACUGAACGUCCCCUGACGGUAUCUAACCAGAAAGCCACGGCUAACUACGUGCCAGCAGCCGCGGUAAUACGUAGGUGGCAAGCGUUGUCCGGAUUUAUUGGGCGUAAAGCGAGCGCAGGCGGUUUCUUAAGUCUGAUGUGAAAGCCCCCGGCUCAACCGGGGAGGGGCAUUGGAAACUGGGAGACUUGAGUGCAGAAGAGGAGAGUGGAAUUCCAGGUGUAGCGGUGAAAUGCGUAGAGAUCUGGAGGAAUACCGGUGGCGAAGGCGGCCCCCUGGACGAAGACUGACGCUCAGGUGCGAAAGCGUGGGGAGCAAACAGG
This 429-nucleotide ribosomal RNA is filed under the name Chloroflexota bacterium. Its description in RNAcentral is "Chloroflexi bacterium partial 16S ribosomal RNA". It matches the Rfam family "Bacterial small subunit ribosomal RNA", at positions 355 to 776 of the family's 1533-position model. The record is from RNAcentral. Lineage: Bacteria; Bacillati; Chloroflexota.